This 558-nucleotide ribosomal RNA is filed under the name uncultured bacterium. RNAcentral's name for it is "bacterial SSU rRNA". It matches the Rfam family "Bacterial small subunit ribosomal RNA", at positions 338 to 915 of the family's 1533-position model. The record is from RNAcentral.
CCUACGGGAGGCAGCAGUGAGGAAUUUUCCGCAAUGGGCGAGAGCCUGACGGAGCAAUACCGCGUGAGGGAUGAAGGAUUUUGGUCUGUAAACCUCUUUUCUCAAGAAAGAAGUUCUGACGGUACUUGAGGAAUAAGCAUCGGCUAACUCCGUGCCAGCAGCCGCGGUAAUACGGGGGAUGCAAGCGUUAUCCGGAAUGAUUGGGCGUAAAGCGCCUGUAGGUUGUUUAUUAAGUCCGUUGUUAAAGCCUAGGGCUCAACCCUAGAAAAGCAAUGGAAACUAGUAGACUAGAGUAUGGCAGGGGUAGAGGGAAUUUCUAGUGUAGCGGUGAAAUGCGUAGAUAUUAGAAAGAACACCGGUGGCGAAAGCGCUCUACUGGACCAUUACUGACACUCAGAGGCGAAAGCUAGGGUAGCAAAAGGGAUUAGAUACCCCUGUAGUCCUAGCCGUAAACGAUGGAUACUAGAUGUUGUGCAUUAUGUACAGUAUCGUAGCUAACGCGUUAAGUAUCCCGCCUGGGGAGUACGCUCGCAAGGGUGAAACUUAAAGGAAUUGACG